RNAcentral lists this long non-coding RNA (379 nucleotides) under Nicotiana benthamiana. Its description in RNAcentral is "long non-coding RNA (NBEN_LNC009710)". The record is from RNAcentral. Lineage: Eukaryota; Viridiplantae; Streptophyta; Magnoliopsida; Solanales; Solanaceae.
AAUGAUGCUACUUGAAAUGGUUGGAGGAAGGAAGAAUUUUGACGCAAAGGCCAUUAAUAGCCAAGUGAACUUUCCUGAGUGGAUUCAUCAACAGUUGAAUGAAGGAGAAGAGUUGAAAAUCAGGAUAGAGGAAGAUGAUGAUAUCAUGAUUGUUAGAAAAUUGGCUAUUAUAGGACUUUGGUGCAUCCAAUGGAAUGCAAUGGAUCGGCCUUCCAUCAAAGUUGUUACUCAAAUGCUAGAAGGAGAUGGGAGCAUGUGCAUCCAGUGGAAUGCAACGGAUCGACCUUCCAUCAAAGUUGUUACUCAAAUGCUAGAAGGAGAUGGGAGCAUUCUAACUAUCCCUCCUCCUUUUACAGCAAGAUACACCAACCACCAAGGA